This 1999-nucleotide ribosomal RNA is filed under the name human gut metagenome. RNAcentral describes it as "bacterial LSU rRNA". It matches the Rfam family "Bacterial large subunit ribosomal RNA", at positions 1 to 2007 of the family's 2925-position model. The record is from RNAcentral.
UUAAAUUAAUAAGGGCGUAUGGUGGAUGCCUAGGCAUUAGAAGACGAAGAAGGACGCGACAAACAGCGAAAUUGCCUCGGGGAGUUGUAAGUAAACAUUGAUCCGGGGGUAUCCGAAUGAGGAAACUUACCAAGAAAGGUAUCCUAAAAUGAAUACAUAGUUUUAGUGAAGGAAACCCUGUGAACUGAAACAUCUUAGUAACAGGAGGAAAAGAAAGAAAAAUCGAUUGCCUUAGUAGUGGCGAGCGAAACGGCAAUAGCCCAAACCAAUCUACGGAUUGGGGUAGUAGGACACUUCAUAACGAGAAUAAGAGCUAAAGAUAGCUAAAUGAUUUGGGAAAGUCAGUCAAAGAAGGUGAAAACCCUGUAGGCGAAAUCUGAAGCACUCAGAAGUGAAUCCUGAGUACGGCGGGACACGAGAAAUCCUGUCGGAAGCAACGGGGACCAUCCCGUAAGGCUAAAUACUCUCUAAUGACCGAUAGUGAACAAGUACCGUGAGGGAAAGGUGAAAAGAACCCCGGGAGGGGAGUGAAAUAGAGAAUCUGAAACCAUAUGCUUACAAAAAGUUCGAGCCCGUUAAAGGGUGAGAGCGUGCCUUUUGCAGAAUGAGCCGGCGAGUUAUGGUAUUGUGCAAGGUUAAGUAGAAAAUACGGAGCCGAAGCGAAAGCGAGUCUUAAAAGGGCGAAAAAGUACAAUGCUGUAGACCCGAAACUGAGUGAUCUAGCCAUGAGCAGGUUGAAGUGUAGGUAACACUACAUGGAGGACCGAACCAGGGUACUAUGUAACGUGCUUGGAUGACUUGUGGUUAGCGGUGAAAUUCCAAUCGAACUCAGAGAUAGCUGGUUCUCCCCGAAAUAGGUUUAGGCCUAGCCUUGAAGAAUUUCCUCUGGAGGUAGAGCACUGAAUGUGGAAUGGCCGCGUCUAGCGGUACUGACUGCAAUCAACCUCCGAAUGCCAGAGUAGUUAGCUUCAGGAGUCAGUUUAUGGGUGAUAACGUCCAUAUGCGAGAGAAAAACAAUUCAGACCACCAGUUAAGGUCCCAAAAUAUAUGUUAAGUGGGAAAGGAUGUGGAGUUGCACGAACAGCUAGGAGGUUGGCUCAGAAGCAGCCAUCCUUUAAAGAGUGCGUAAUAGCUCACUAGUCGAGUGGCUCUGCGCCGAAAAUGUACCGGGGCUAAACAUAUUACCGAAACUGUGGAUUUAUGCGAUAGCAUAAGUGGUAGGGGAGCGUUCUAAGGGCGACGAAGAUAGAUCGAGAGGACUAUUGGAGCGCUUAGAAGUGAGAAUGCCGGUGUGAGUAACGUAAGGUAGGUGAGAAUCCUACCCACUGAUUGACCAAGGAUUCCAGGGUCAAGUUCGUCUACCCUGGGUAAGUCAGGACCUAAGGCGAGGCUGAGAAGCGUAGUCGAUGGACAACAGGUUUAUAUUCCUGUACUAUUUAUAGGACUGAAGGAGUGACAAAGGAAGCUAGUAAGAGCCAUUUAAUGGAUUAUGGUCUAAGCACAAAGACUGAUACAUAGGAAAAUCCGUGAUAUCGAACGGUUGAAGUGUGAUGGCGAAGCAGUCUACGGACAGCGAAGACUUAUGAGGCUAAACUUUUUAAAAAAGCUUCUAAAGAAAUGCUAUAAAUACCUGUACUAAGAACCAACGCAGGUGGUCAAGGAGAGAAUCCUAAGGUGAGCGAGAGAACUAUGGUUAAGGAACUCGGCACAAUGAUCCCGUAACUUCGGAAUAAGGGAAGGUCUUGAAAAAGACCCGCAGUGAAUAGGCCCAAGCGACUGUUUACCAAAAACACAGGUUUCUGCAAAAGCGUAAGCUGAAGUAUAGGAGCUGACGCCUGCCCAGUGCUGGAAGGUUAAGAUGAUUUGUAAGAUGGACGAAAGUCGAUAACAUCGAAGCAAUGAAUUGAAGCCCCAGUGAACGGCGGCGAUAACUAUAAUCGUCCAAAGGUAGCGAAAUUCCUUGUCAGGUAAGUUCUGACCCGCACGAAAGGCGUAACGA